This 1230-nucleotide long non-coding RNA is filed under the name Hordeum vulgare. Its description in RNAcentral is "long non-coding RNA (HVUL_LNC007924)". Lineage: Eukaryota; Viridiplantae; Streptophyta; Magnoliopsida; Poales; Poaceae. The record is from RNAcentral.
ACACACGCACAGAUAUAUACAUACGCACAUACACUAUACAAUUUAUGCAAAUCGUCAAAAUAUUAGUUAAAACAACUUUUGUUAAGAGACAUAACUUAAAUUUAGCAUAUGUUUUUUUUGAUGCACGUUAAAUUGUAUGACGACGGAUACAAUAAUUAAUAUUUAGCAAUUUUGUUGUGUAAUUCUAUGCCAAUUAAGUGUAGAACAUCAUACUCUUUUAGGUUGUAGUAUGACGAAAUAAUAUGUUUAAAAGAGUAUACAAGUUUAGUACAAAAAUAUAUGUAAUUUUUAUUUCAUCUUAAGAAACUUUUUUUAACUAAAUCUAGGUUAAUGUCGAUUACAAAAAAGGUUACAUUACUUUAGUAGGCACUAUAUUCUAAUUGUGGAUAUUAUUGUUAUGCGCGAUAACAAUCGAGAUUGGUAUUGAGCUCACAUGGCUAGGCUUGAGAACUACACUGACCCUGAACAUCGUGCUCUCUUUCUGAAUGUUAAACUGGAUCGAGUGUUCUUUUUGCCACAUACUUCAAAUAAAAAUGUUGGUUAUUUCUAUGAGUACCGAUAUAUUUAUACUUAGUGAAAAUAGUGAAAACUCAACUGGAUACAAAAGCAAAAGGUGUUCAUUUUUUUGUCAAAAUUCUUUAAAAGGUGAUUGAAUUUCUUUUAAUUUCUCAAAUUCCAAAAACUGAACUGGCUCUUUUUGCUGGACUGAAAAGCAGGCAUCGGUGUUUCCUAAUUCUUACCAAACCAAAUUUAAGAACCGCGGGUUGAAAUCAGGUUAUAUCGCGAAAAGAAAUAUCUAAUACAAUUCUUACUCUUGAAACUGAAGAUGUAGUUCUUCGACCAUUAGAAAAAAAAUACUUAUUUGGCUGGAGGUGGACCCACCUGAUCAACAGGUAGCAUGCAUUAGAAAACAAUAAUAUAAUCAUCAUAACUAAAAUUAAAUUGCCGGCUAGGAUCCAUUCGUUAAUUAAAUAAAUUCAUAAUUGAUGUGUAAUAACUCGACUUAUUCAUGAUUAUGGAUGAAAUGCUAAACCAAUUGAAUAAUUACAUGCAUCCAUCAUAGAAAAUAAUAUCUAGAUCAGAGCAUGAAGUGGGUCCUCACCCAAACAUGACCAAUCCAAUCUACAUGUGGAAGAAGUCUUGUCACACCGAUUGUGACAGUGACAAUGCGGAUUCUAUGAUUGCAACAUAGAGCAUUAGUAUUACCGUUGGGCAUUUCAUCAGAUAUAU